This 424-nucleotide ribosomal RNA is filed under the name Verrucomicrobiota bacterium. RNAcentral describes it as "Verrucomicrobia bacterium partial 16S ribosomal RNA". It matches the Rfam family "Bacterial small subunit ribosomal RNA", at positions 355 to 776 of the family's 1533-position model. The record is from RNAcentral. Lineage: Bacteria; Pseudomonadati; Verrucomicrobiota.
UGAGGAAUAUUGGUCAAUGGACGAGAGUCUGAACCAGCCAAGUAGCGUGCAGGAUGACGGCCCUAUGGGUUGUAAACUGCUUUUAUAUGGGGAUAAAGUGGGGAACGUGUUCCCUUUUGCAGGUACCAUAUGAAUAAGGACCGGCUAAUUCCGUGCCAGCAGCCGCGGUAAUACGGAAGGUUCGGGCGUUAUCCGGAUUUAUUGGGUUUAAAGGGAGCGUAGGCCGUUUGGUAAGCGUGUUGUGAAAUGUAGGAGCUCAACUUCUAGAUUGCAGCGCGAACUGUCAGACUUGAGUGCGCACAACGUAGGCGGAAUUCAUGGUGUAGCGGUGAAAUGCUUAGAUAUCAUGAAGAACUCCGAUUGCGAAGGCAGUUUACGGGAGCGCAACUGACGCUGAAGCUCGAAGGUGCGGGUAUCGAACAGG